This 497-nucleotide ribosomal RNA is filed under the name uncultured bacterium. RNAcentral describes it as "partial 16S ribosomal RNA". It matches the Rfam family "Bacterial small subunit ribosomal RNA", at positions 28 to 507 of the family's 1533-position model. The record is from RNAcentral.
GAUGAACGCUGGCGGCGUGCCUAAUACAUGCAAGUCGAGCGACCAGACGAGGAGCUUGCUCCUCUGCCGUUAGCGGCGGACGGGUGAGUAACACGUGGAUAACCUACCUAUAAGACUGGGAUAACUUCGGGAAACCGGAGCUAAUACCGGAUAAUAUAUUGUACCGCAUGGUUCAAUAGUUAACGACGGUUUUGCUGUCACUUAUAGAUGGAUCCGCGCCGCAUUAGCUAGUUGGUAGGGUAACGGCUUACCAAGGCAACGAUGCGUAGCCGACCUGAGAGGGUGAGCGGCCACACUGGAACUGAGACACGGUCCAGACUCCUACGGGAGGCAGCAGUAGGGAAUCUUCCGCAAUGGGCGAAAGCUUGACGGAGCAACGCCGCGUGAGUGAUGAAGGUCUUCGGAUCGUAAAACUCUGUUAUUAGGGAAGAACAAAUGUGUAAGUAACUAUGCACGUCUUGACGGUACCUAAUCAGAAAGCCACGGCUAACUACGUG